CGGUGGUCCCACCUGACCCCAUGCCGAACUCAGAAGUGAAACGCCGUAGCGCCGAUGGUAGUGUGGGGUCUCCCCAUGUGAGAGUAGGGAACCGCCAGGU
This 100-nucleotide ribosomal RNA is filed under the name Morganella morganii. The record is from RNAcentral. RNAcentral also lists the same sequence under 1 other name. Lineage: Bacteria; Pseudomonadati; Pseudomonadota; Gammaproteobacteria; Enterobacterales; Morganellaceae.